CUGGGGGCAAAUUUUUCUCUGUAUAUUCCUUCUCGCGAUCUUCAUUUUCGGAACUUGUUCGGCGAUGAAGGUCAACCGCCUCAGUUCAAACAUUUACGUAUCCAAGGUAUAUAUCUUCAAAUCAGUUCUUUUAACUGCAAUGACAGACGACUUCAAUGAUUUGACAAAAUCCUCAAUAUAUAGAAUAACUACCAACACGUCCCUUUG
This 207-nucleotide long non-coding RNA is filed under the name Mytilus galloprovincialis (Mediterranean mussel). The record is from RNAcentral. Lineage: Eukaryota; Metazoa; Mollusca; Bivalvia; Mytilida; Mytilidae.